Homo sapiens (human) is the source of this 216-nucleotide small nucleolar RNA. Lineage: Eukaryota; Metazoa; Chordata; Mammalia; Primates; Hominidae. The record is from RefSeq and is marked validated.
CAGCCCAGUGAUGAUCACUAUUCCUACUUAGAGAGAAUAGGACUAACUUUCAGAAAUCCAGGCAUUUUUCUACCUUUCAUACUAUCUUUCUUUCACUUUACUUCUCUUUUCUGUCUUUUAUCACUUCUUUCUUUCUUCAUUCUUUCUCUCUUUUGCCUGGAUCGAGAUUGUUAAGUCCCUCUCAGUGAAGGGUAAGAUUAUGAGAUCUGAGGGCUG